UUUACACAAACAAAAGCUUCAAGAAAAACUAGUCGUUAGAGUCAAAACCCUUGUUCUUCCUCUUUCUUCUUCGAUUAUGCAGCAACUCAUUACUUGGAGCUUCACUUGCUGCCUUCGAUCCUUGGAAAAGCAAUUUAGGUUCCAACAGUUUUCUACAUAGCAGUUCCAUUCAGUUUUCAAACCCCCCACGCCCUUUUGUCGUAAAUUCUCCGCUUCAUUUGUUCAGUUACAAAAUCUUGAUCUUUGUACAUCACCCAAGGCCGGCUCCCAAUUCGAGCACUCUUCUCCCCUCUAAUUCUUCGUCUUCGUUUAGAAUCAGGUUGCUCUGACUCAGCCACGCCCGCCAGUUCGGAACCGCCACCACCGCCGCUUGUACCAGAAGGACAGAAGAGAUACGUUUUUCACCAAAGAAAGCAUUUUGUAUACGUCCUUUGGCAUGCCCGAUAAGGUUUCUCAAGUUCUCUACAACACCGGCCUCGGCCAACUGUCUCUGGUCAGGCUGCUAGCAUACGGUCUAUACUUUCAGGGAAGGAUUGUACCUUCAAGGAAGGAUUGUUCUUUCAGGGAAGGAUUGUUGCAGCUGAAACUGAAUCACCACGUUCAGGGAAGGAUGUUGUUUUGAUCACUGAUUCCCCUCAUUGGGUUUCAUUGCAGUUCAGUUUUACAGUAAAUGCAAUUUCGAUACCUAAAGCUUAAGAGAAGGUCGACAAGCUUAAGUCAAUAGGAUUUUCAUAUGACUGGGAUAGUGAAAUUUCUACAACAGAACCAGAAUAUUAUACAUGGACCCUGUUAUGCCUUGGCAUGUUCAUCAGUGCAGAAGCAACAUUCAGAUUAUCUCACCACCAAUAUACAGACCUAUAAUUGAACAGUUUAAAAUACAAGACAUAAAGACACCAAGAGAAUUACGAUGUUCGGCAAAAUCCUGCCUACGUACGUCCCCAGAGAGAUAUUACUCUUCACUAUGAGAAUAACAAUAUAAGUUACACAUGAGUUAAAUCGACAUAACCCAAUCCCAAAUCCCUUGUACACCCACUCACAGAAUUUUCCCAAGAGCUUCACUCUCCACAAGAGUUCUUUCACUAGAAGACUUUUAACUCUAGCUCUCUUGAUUUUCAUUCAACCCAUGUUCAACCUUUCCCAUGGGAGAGCCGGAUGCUCUCCCCCUUGGAUGCUUCCAUGAUGCUUGCCUUCCCACUUUCCAAGACUAAAUGCACAAAUAUUGCAUCUAGUUAUAGGCAUACACUAGUAACUACGCCAACAACCAAGACAAAAAAUCUUAAGUUCACAUGACAUAAUCAUCACCUAGCCUACCUAGCAUGCACCAACCUAGCCCUUAGAGUACAACUUUUUCUCCAUUUGCCAUUUAAUGCAUAGAAGAGAAAUCAUGCACAAUUGCAUGCAAGCAAACACAAAGUCACGGUUGCUGCCAUUUCCUUGUAGCAUUCACAUGGUCUUCAAUUGUUGUCAACACAUGACUCAUAAUGACUCACAAAUGUACGAGCUGGUGACCUGUGUGGUGGCGUCUUCGAUGUCCUAUUUUCCUUUGCUUCUGUUGUUUGGGUGUGCUGGGCAUCCCUCUGCUUGUAAUUAUGAACCAUUUCUUUCAACCCAAAAAAAAAACCCACAACAGACCCAAUGGAUCUUUCUUCAGCUAUUAAAGAUAGGAUUGGCGUAUCAGGUAUAAAUGAGAUAUCGGCGGUGAUGGUUUCUAUCAUUUUCACCAUUGCACAUAUCUAAUACUCUACUUUGUUACAUUCAUGCUGAAGUGCUAGUUAAUUGGUGCCCUGCUCUUGGUACUGUCUUGGCAAAUGAAGAAGUGAUGAAGAUGGUUUGAGUGACCUUGGGGGUCAUUUAGUUAUACGAAAGGGACAUAUUGAUUUGGUUCAUUUUCAUUUUACAAACCAUCUAAGAUAAAUAACAAAAAACCACUUCUUGGCUUAAUUCAAAUUUUCGGAUGGUUUUAUAAUUUUACAGUCCUUUUUUGGUGUCAUUGUUUAUUACUGAGCAACCACUGCAGAGAUUAUCACUUCCCUCCCCAACUUUUUACUGAUCUCUGUCCACUUCAUCUAAUUAUUUAAAUACCAUAAUCUCUUGAAUGCUUCUUCUUUGCUUUUUCGUCCAUUUUUGGUUUUUAACACAUUUUGUAAUUGUGAAACUAGUAUUGGAUUGAUUUUAGCAAGUGGGAUUUUUUGUUAAUGUUGAUCAUAUUCAGACCUUUGUGUCGAUCGAAGUCCUUGUUGUUGGGUUAGCUAACGUAUGAUUGCUAGCUUUCUCUCUUAGUUGAAUUCAAAAUGUUUUGAGUUGUUAUAUGGACUUAAGAUUUAGUAAGUACUUGCCGAAAGUCAUGGGAUUUUGAAAUAUCGAUGUCUUGCUUGCUUAUUAACUUAGAAAUUGCUUAUUAGCUUAAACAUCUAAGAACCAAGGUAGUCCUUUCACUGCCUCACUACAUACAAUGUGUUGAUGAUUUACACAACAUAGUCGUUCCCCACAUGUGUGAGGAUCUGUGCGUGCAACCUCAUUGGUUAGGCAUGCUUUGGUGUUUGUUGUUUGAGGCAGUGUUUAAUCGUUUUCCAGUGGUGCUCCACUUUGUGAUACUACAGAAGAGCAAGAAAGGAAAUAGAAGAGUUUGACUGCAUAAUUACUCAUAAAAAUAAGUUUAUGUAUUUUUAACUAUUCUGAAGUGAAAUCAGUGAUCCUCGGUCCGAUUCAAUGUUGUCCCAAUUUACAUGGGACGAUGCAACGCUUAUAUGAUAGUUUUCUUAUCAGCUGUAUGUGAAUCACCGUUGUCUUAUGGAUAAUAUGCAUACUUAUGUUUUGAUUCCUGUUAAACUUUGUAUUAUUUUCGUGUUAGUCAUUGGCAGGUAACUUUGAAAACAUUCAUAUUUAUCGAUAGGACCUUGAGGGAGGGUGGUCCUACUUAAAGAGAAGAACUAAAUUUCUCUCAGAGAGGACAAAUUCUGCUGCUUUCUAAUUUCAAAGACGACUCCAGCCCCAUUGGUGAAUUCAAGUGCCUUAAAUCUCUUGAAUUCUUUCAUCUCUUUGGCAUGUCAAUUGUCAUUAUUAGCUAUGAGAUGAAGUGCUUGAAAUUAUGACGUUGAUUUUGAACUCAAAAUUGAAGAAAGCUUGAAAUUAUGACGUUGAUUUUGAACUCAAAAUAGAAGAAACACAAACAUACCUGUAACUUCUACACGUUAUAUUAUGCAACAUAUAUAUUCUAACCCUUGCACUGUGUUGUUGCACGCACAAAAAAAGCAAAAAAAAUAAAACAGACUAAUGUGUUGUUCACUGUAAUUUUAUUAAAUUGAAGAAAACACAUUUGUAGCCUCUCUAACGUGUGUGCAAGAGGCAUUUUUGCAUCACGGGUGCUACGCGCCCCAAAGAUGUGUUGUUUUAGAUAUUCUUAUAUUUCUUAAGUGAUUAUUUUAUAAAUUGUGGGUGUGUGCCCAUCACAACAAUUUUUUAUUAUUUUCAAUCAUCUAACUUAGUCUUUUUGCA
This is a long non-coding RNA of Malus domestica (apple), 3495 nucleotides long. RefSeq lists it as uncharacterized. The record is from RefSeq and is a predicted model, not a curated record. NCBI's taxonomy places the organism in Eukaryota, Viridiplantae, Streptophyta, Magnoliopsida, Rosales, Rosaceae.